This 456-nucleotide ribosomal RNA is filed under the name Malaprespia albanica. RNAcentral's name for it is "partial 16S ribosomal RNA". It matches the Rfam family "Bacterial large subunit ribosomal RNA", at positions 1839 to 2593 of the family's 2925-position model. The record is from RNAcentral. Lineage: Eukaryota; Metazoa; Mollusca; Gastropoda; Littorinimorpha; Hydrobiidae.
AUUUAUAUAAAGAGUCGAACCUGCCCAAUGAUAUUUUUAAAUGGCCGCGGUACUCUGACCGUGCAAAGGUAGCAUAAUCAUUUGCCUUAUAAUUGAAGGCUAGUAUGAAUGGUUUAACAAGAGUAGCACUGUCUCUACUAAAUUUUAUAGAAUUUGGUUUUUAGGUGAAGAAACCUAAAUAAAAUUGAAAGACAAGAAGACCCUAUCGAGCUUUAAAAAAUUUUUCUUAAAGAUUUUAGUUGGGGCGACUAAGGAACAAUAAAAGCUUCUUUUUUAUAUACAAACUUAUAUGUUUUGAUCCAAGGAAAAUGAUUAAUAGAAUUAGUUACCGUAGGGAUAACAGCAUAAUCUUUUUUAAGAGUUCUUAUCGAAAAAAAGGUUUGUGACCUCGAUGUUGGACUAGGAUAUCCUAAAGGUGUAGAAGCCUUUAAAGGUUGGUCUGUUCGACCACUAACA